AGUGAACGCUGGCGGUAGGCCUAACACAUGCAAGUCGAACGGCAGCACAGUAAGAGCUUGCUCUUACGGGUGGCGAGUGGCGGACGGGUGAGGAAUACAUCGGAAUCUACUUUUUCGUGGGGGAUAACGUAGGGAAACUUACGCUAAUACCGCAUACGACCUACGGGUGAAGGCAGGGGAUCUUCGGACCUUGCGCGAUUGAAUGAGCCGAUGUCGGAUUAGCUAGUUGGCGGGGUAAAGGCCCACCAAGGCGACGAUCCGUAGCUGGUCUGAGAGGAUGAUCAGCCACACUGGAACUGAGACACGGUCCAGACUCCUAAGGGAGGCAGCAGUGGGGAAUAUUGGACAAAGGGCGCAAGCCUGAUCCAGCCAUACCGCGUGGGUGAAGAAGGCCUUCGGGUUGUAAAGCCCUUUUGUUGGGAAAGAAAAGCAGCAGGUUAAUACCCCGCUGUUCUGACGGUACCCAAAGAAUAAGCACCGGCUAACUUCGUG
RNAcentral lists this ribosomal RNA (492 nucleotides) under uncultured bacterium. RNAcentral describes it as "partial 16S ribosomal RNA". It matches the Rfam family "Bacterial small subunit ribosomal RNA", at positions 29 to 507 of the family's 1533-position model. The record is from RNAcentral.